This 45-nucleotide non-coding RNA is filed under the name Trichobilharzia regenti. The record is from RNAcentral. Lineage: Eukaryota; Metazoa; Platyhelminthes; Trematoda; Strigeidida; Schistosomatidae.
AUCCAGAUGAUGAGUCCCAAAUAGGACGAAAUGCGCACCCUGGUU